RNAcentral lists this long non-coding RNA (383 nucleotides) under Salvia miltiorrhiza (redroot sage). RNAcentral's name for it is "long non-coding RNA (SMIL_LNC001500)". Lineage: Eukaryota; Viridiplantae; Streptophyta; Magnoliopsida; Lamiales; Lamiaceae. The record is from RNAcentral.
UUUUUUUUUUUUUUUUUUAUUAAACUAUAUACAUAUGUACAUGCUUCAACUUCUACCACCUUUCAAGGAUAGUAACGUUUCAGGAACUUGCCGUUGAUAGGCCCAACUCUGACGUUGUCAUCAGAAAGAAUCCUGUAUGCUCCGUUUGUGUAGACUUCCUUGACAACAUAUGGGCCAUCCCACCUUGAUACGAAUUUGUUUCCAACACGAUGAGUGACAACGAUUGGCCUCCUCACAGCGAGGACCAAAUCUCCAACUUGAAAAGAACGCACUCGCACCGUCUUGUUGAAAGACUUUGAGAGGCGAGCUUGGUAGCAUUCUAACUUUUGCUGAGCUUCCAGCCUUUUCUCAUCUAGAGCUUCGAGUUCCUCCAGACGCAGACG